UUCCGGUUGAUCCCGCCGGACCUGACUGCUAUCGGAUUGAUACUAAGCCAUGCGAGUCAUUGUAGUAAUACAAGGCAGACGGCUCAGUAACGCGUAGUCAACCUAACCUAUGGACGGGAAUAACCUCGGGAAACUGAGUAUAAUGCCCGAUAGAACAUUAUGCCUGGAAUGGUUUAUGUUCCAAAUGAUUUAUCGCCGUAGGAUGGGACUGCGGCCUAUCAGUUUGUUGGUGAGGUAGUGGCCCACCAAGACUAUUACAGGUACGGGCUCUGAGAGGAGUAGCCCGGAGAUGGGUACUGAGACACGGACCCAGGCCCUAUGGGGCGCAGCAGGCGAGAAAACUUUGCAAUGUGCGAAAGCACGACAAGGUUAAUCCGAGUGGUUUCUGCUAAAGGAACCUUUUGUCGGUCCUAGAAACACCGAUGGAUAAGGGGUGGGCAAGUUCUGGUGUCAGCCGCCGCGGUAAAACCAGCACCUCAAGUGGUCAGGAUGAUUAUUGGGCCUAAAGCAUCCGUAGCCGGCUCUAUAAGUUUUCGGUUAAAUCUGUACGCUCAACGUACAGGUUGCCGGGAAUACUGUAGAGCUAGGGAGUGGGAGAGGUAGACGGUACUCGGUAGGAAGGGGUAAAAUCCUUUGAUCUAUUGAUGACCACCUGUGGCGAAGGCGGUCUACCAGAACACGUCCGACGGUGAGGGAUGAAAGCUGGGGGAGCAAACCGGAUUAGAUACCCGGGUAGUCCCAGCUGUAAACUAUGCAAACUCAGUGAUGCAUUGGCUUGUGGCUAAUGCAGUGCUGCAGGGAAGCCGUUAAGUUUGCCGCC
This 820-nucleotide ribosomal RNA is filed under the name uncultured archaeon. RNAcentral describes it as "bacterial SSU rRNA". It matches the Rfam family "Archaeal small subunit ribosomal RNA", at positions 4 to 828 of the family's 1478-position model. The record is from RNAcentral.